GUCAGAACAACAGUUACCCUUUAGAGUAAGGCACAGCAAAGGGACACUCAGAAGCCUUCUGGGGUGUGCUAGCACUCUAGAUCUAGACCUGGCGGCUGGUUUUGUGGGUGUAUACCUCACUGAGCUAUUCACCUGGGAAUUGAGCACUUUAUGUAAAUUAUACCCCAAUUAAAAACAAAGAGCCAGUGGUGCUCUCAGCAGGCCCCAGGGGAAUGAGACGUUCAGCAGGAGCUGGGGGAGCACGGAGGGUGCUAAAGGAAAAAUGGGGUGGAGGGGGAGAGAAGGAGAGCCGGAAACCCAGAUAGACACACGCAGAUUAAGGUGGUCAGAGAAGGUGUUUACGGGAAGAAGUCGACCCGAAUUCCAGGCAGUUGAAUUAGUCCUAGGAGGAAAGGGUGGGGUUUGGCUUCCAAGUAGGGUAACCAGUUUGCCCAGGACUCUUGCUUUGGGCACCAAAGGUUCUGUAUUCUGGGAAACGUCUCAGGCCAAGGCAGUGGGACAGCUCAGCUUUCUGCUCCCAAGGCCUGGCGCUGGGCAGGGGUGGGGAGGAAUGGAGUGGACCCAGGAAGUAAUAGCCACCACCUUUGAGACCCUCCUGUUUCUCCAACAGCCUUCUGUCCAGUCUUCACCUUCACAGCGCCCAUCAGUUUUUCCUGUUUGAAGAUUCUGGUUGCAACCCAACUAAGUCAAUUUCACAACCCAGUAAGGAUUCAUGAUUCAGUUUGAAAAAUAUGGUACAAGAUACCUCUUUCUGGAGCUGGUUCUCUUUUCUGAAUGAAGGGCGCUGGGGGUUCUGGAGGUCCUCUGAACCAGGCACUGCCCUGGUUUGGAGUUCUGUUUGUUUUGCAGAAAAGGAAGCUGAGACUCCCCAAGCCUGAGUGGCUUGCCCAUGAAUCAGCCCCGGGGGGGGGGGGACAUUUACAGCAUGGAAGACAGCAAAUGCUGCAAAUCAGAGCUUCCCCCUGUCUCCGCCCUUGGAAAACCAGCCCUUAACACACUUACUGUGCACUGGUGCUUCCCACCCUGCUCUUUCUGGUUCCACAGUCAGUAUAUCUUGAAGCCUUCUGACCUCAGCUUCCUCAUCUGUAAAUAACAUUAAAAAAUGCCCACUUCAUGGGAAAAAUUCUAUUCACUGAAGACAGUCUGGUAAGAGGGACAAUGACUGGAAGGAAACAAAAAUGCAAAUAAUUAUUUGCCUCUGUGAUGGGGUUUGAAAUGGGGUCCCAAACGCCACUAUCUUGUGUUAUUUCCAUCACUGCUAAAUGGAAUUUGUGCAGGGGGGAAAAAAAACACACAAAUACAAAAAACAAAAAACACUUUGCAAAACUAUUGAGAAUUAGAAUAAAGGCAGCCUAUAGCCCAGCUAUGAGCGGUGUAAACGGAAGAGGGAAUUCGUGUUUUUUCUAAUUGGAAAUAGCAAAGAAAGUAUUGCAAAUGGAUUGCAUUUCAAAGCAGGACUGUCUAUGCAGACAGAAGAGAGAAAGGAGUAUUUUGAUAAAUAUUCUGAUUCCUAGACUAUACUGACAAAUAUAUCCUACACUAAUCACUAAUUUUCAAAAUUCUAGAAUAAGGGCUUUACAGCUUCAAAUUUAUCCAGUCCAGUGCAAUGGUUGCCCCCCUCCCCGUCUGACAGAUUCCUCAGCCUGGUGACCCCCCGGAGUAGAGUCUGACUGGAACCUUCUCCCGUUCGUGGCCACCCUGCUCUCUGAGGCCACACAGGAGUCUGUAUCCUCAUCCUCGCCAUAUUUAUAAUAAUAAUGGCUGUAUUCAUUUCCCACGGUGGCUGUCACAAAUUACUACUAAUUUUAUGACUUACCACAAACUUAGUAUUUUCUUGUGUUAGAAGUCAGAAGUCUGGAAUGGGUGUUGCUCAGCUAAUAUCAAGGUGCUGGCAGGGCUAUGUGCUUUCUGGAAGCUUCAGGGAGAAUCUUUUCCUGGUCUUUCCCAUUUUCCAGGGGCACCCACAUUUCGUGGUUAGUUGACUUUCCUCCAUCCUCAAAGCCAGCAGCAUUUCACGGAGGAACCUCUCUCUGACUGGGGCACUCACGCUUCUGCUUCCCUGUUUUGUGGUAAGGACCGUUGCAAUUCGAUUGGGCUCAAUUGGAUAAUCCAAGCCAGUCAGCUGAUUAGCAGCCUUAAUUCCACCUGCAACCUUAAUUACCACUUUUACCAUGAAACACAGCACAUUCGCAGGUUCCUGAGAUUAGGAUGUGGGCAUCUUUAUUCUGCCUACCACAAUGGUUAACAUUUUGAGUGCUUCCUAUGUACCUGGUAGAGUUCUAGGCAUGUUACUUAUAAAGAUGUGUUUAAAUCUCACCUCAGCUCUGUGAAGUAGGAAUUGAUUUCAUAGAGGAGGAAAGUGAGGCCCGGAGAGGAAAACCAAAUUGCCCAAGGUCACACAGCUAGUAAGAGGCAGGGCUGAGCUACAGAUUCAGGAAUCCAGUCUCCAAGCCCAUUCUCUGAAGCCAUAAUCACAUUUUAGUAACUGAAGGAUAGAUGUACAAAUAAAAUUCUACUUAGCUUAAUCCUCACUUGAUGAUCUAGAAACCCCUACAGGAUGUGACAAUGCCUCAGGUCAAUUAAUAAUGACUGUAAUUUGCCACUGAUCAGACAACUUUGGAUGGGCUGACCGGUAGAUUUCCAGGAGCUAGGAUGUCCUAUAAGUCUGCUUCCUUCCCCAGUGGGCUUCUCACAAUGGGCAAUAGUGAUUCUCCACUCUGCUCUGUGGUAUCUGACCUCAGCUACUUCUCUUUCCCUCUAUUCCAGCCAUGCUAGCUUCACAGACAUCCCUCAAAAAAUCAAUUUAAUUUCUACCACAGGACCUUUGCACUCACUAUCACCCCCACCUGGAAUCUCUCCCCAGUGUACAUAAAGCUCAACCAUCACUUCAAAUAGGUCUCUGACCAAGAAUCACCUCUUUAAAAAGGAGCUAGAAAACAGGCCCAUCUUGGUGGGCGGUGUCUCCCUCUUCCCUCUCCAAUAUUUUGGUGGAAAGAAGACAAGACAUUAACAUUCUCUUCUUUUUCCUGCUUUCUCUCCCUCAUGGUGAUGAACAUGGAAUUGCAUUUGCAGGAAAGGAGGGGUCUUCACCUUGAGGUUUUCCUUGACUGUAUGUGUACAAAUGAUCCUGAGCAAAUAGCAGGGGACAGAAGGCAGGGACUAGUUUCUUAACUGCCAGAUCUUUAAAGGGAAGAGAAAAAAAAUCUUGACUUAUGGAGCACCUACUGAGUGCUCAAAAUUUCCUAGUACUAGGAAAAGAAUGCUGUGGUUGCUAGAUGUUAAGAAAUUGGUCCAGGGGCGCCUGGGUGGCUCAGUGGGUUAAAGCCUCUGCCUUCGGCUCAGGUCAUGAUCCCAGGGUCCUGGGAUCGAGCCCCGCAUCGGGCUCUCUGCUCCGCAGGGAGCCUGCUUCCUCCCCUCUCUCUCUGCCUGCCUCUCUGCCUGCUUGUGAUCUCUGUCUGUCAAAUAAAUAAAUAAAAUCUUUAAAAAAAAAAAAAAAAGAAAUUGGUCCAGAUUACAUGUGGAGGGACUGAGUAAACCUUGAAUGCAAGUCAGCCUGAAUAACACAUCAAGGUUCCUCUUCCUUUACAGAGAGAAGAAGUGAACUGGGAUAAAGCAGGGACUGCAUUGAAGCAAUUGGCCAUAGGGGAGGAAUUUUUUUUUUCUCUAAAUGAGUAAUUAUUCUAUUUAGAAACUCACAUGGAGACAAUGGGAAACAGAAGUGAAGACUUUGUUUCUAUCCCCAGGAGAUAUUUGCAUAUGAUACACAACUGUUUUAGCACCACAUGUAGAAAAGACUUCUUUCUCCACUGAGUUGCCUUGGCACUUUUUGUCAAAAUCAAUGCACUAUAUUUGUGUCUAUUUCUGGACUGUCUGGUCUGUUCCACAGAUCAAUUUGUCUGUCUUGAUGCAAGUCCCAAACUGUUUUGAUUACCGUAGCUUCAUAAUAGGUUUGACAAUGAGAUUUGGGUCCUCUAACUUUGUUCUUUUUCAAAGUUGUUGUUUUGGCUAUUCUAAGUCUUUUGUGUUUCCAUAUGAAUUUCGGAAUCAGAUUCUCAAUUUCUGCCAAAAAAAAAAAAAAAAAAGCUAGCUGGAUUUUGACUUGAAUUUAUAGAUCAAUUUGGAGACAACUGCCAUCUUAACAACAGCUAAUCUUCAGAUUCAUGAACAUGGUAUACCUGUUUAUGUAAGUUUAAUUUUUCUCAACAGUGUUUUGUAGUUUUCACUGAACAGAUUAUGCACAUCUUUUGUCAGAUUUAUCCCUAUACCUCAUAUUUUUUAUGCUCAUGUAAGUGAUAAUUUAAAUUUCAAUUUUUAACUGUCCAUUGCUAGUAUAUAGAAGAUAGCUGAGUUUUGUAGAUUGAUCUUGGAUCCUACAACCAUGCUGAACUCAUUUUGUCAGUUCUGGUAGGUUUUUUGGGUUUUUUUGUUUGUUUUGGGGAGGGUUUUUUGGUGGAUUUUUGGUGGGGUUUUGGUGGAUUUAUUUUCCUAUAUAGAUGAUGUUAUCUGUGAAUAAAGACCAUUUUAUGAGGGGCUAUCUCUAAGAAGGCUGUGUUCUAAUAAACUCCAUCCUCAAGCUGUUGGAAGGAAAUAGAGGGACAAUCCAGGAUGAGAAUGACACAAGGCUGCAAGUUAUUCUUAGGGCAGCAGAUCUGUAAAUCUGAUAGUUUUAUUUAAGCUAAUGUUAAAAUGGACUCAUAUUCUAUUAAUCCUGGGAGAUAUCCUCAGCACAGAUCACUUGAUUAUCUAUACU
Molecule: long non-coding RNA, 4750 nt
Filed under: Mustela putorius furo (domestic ferret)
Lineage: Eukaryota; Metazoa; Chordata; Mammalia; Carnivora; Mustelidae
Description: lncRNA (ENSMPUG00000025424.1)
Source: RNAcentral